AUCCAGCUGACGAGCCCCAAAUAGGACGAAAUCCGCAUCCUGAAU
Molecule: non-coding RNA, 45 nt
Filed under: Trichobilharzia regenti
Lineage: Eukaryota; Metazoa; Platyhelminthes; Trematoda; Strigeidida; Schistosomatidae
Source: RNAcentral